Long non-coding RNA from Helianthus annuus (common sunflower), 531 nucleotides. RefSeq lists it as uncharacterized. The record is from RefSeq and is a predicted model, not a curated record. NCBI's taxonomy places the organism in Eukaryota, Viridiplantae, Streptophyta, Magnoliopsida, Asterales, Asteraceae. The transcript has 3 exons.
CAUUUUCGACACUAAAGCUGGCAUUGCAUUGAACAACAACUUUUUGAGAAUGAGGUUACAGUAACCAUGUGGUCGACUUGAUUCGCCACAUAGCACGAGUUAGCGUGGUUGUCAUGAGCGCAGUUUUUCCUGUCACGCUGUGACUAUCACCACUGAUUAAGAAAUUUGUAGGGCUUAAAGGUGGUACUUGCAGUCCAGAGAAGAAUACCAGGUUCUAUUUGAUGGUAGAAUAUGACAAGGAACAAAUGCAUUCAAAGCUUUAGCCCUCGGUGCAAAGCGGUUAUGGUUGGGCGAGCGAUGGUGUAUGGGUUAACAACAAAAGGUGAGUAUGGAGUAAAUACACUGAUUGAGAUGUUGAAGGACGAACCUGAGUUCACAAUGGCUCUUUCCGGCUGCCCCACUCUCAACAAUGCUACCAGGAAUCAUAUCAGAACUUAGGCCGGUAAUCGCUAUUGUAGAUUGCAGUUUUAAAGUAUCUUAUGAAGAAUCAUUUAAUAUUAAUUUAUAUAAUCCAGAAUAAUAAAUUGAAGG